AUAGAUCCGUAACUUCGGGAAAAGGAUUGGCUCUAAGGGUUGGGCUCAUCGGGCCUUGGUUGGAAGCGCUAGGACCUAUCUGGGACUGUUGGGGGGGCAACUUCUUGACGGACUCGGUAAGGACUUGGUUGUGGAUGACCUUGGCUGCCUUCGGGGCGUCCGGUGGGCGAUUAACAACCGACUUAGAACUGGUACGG
Molecule: ribosomal RNA, 197 nt
Filed under: Parasola nudiceps
Lineage: Eukaryota; Fungi; Basidiomycota; Agaricomycetes; Agaricales; Psathyrellaceae
Description: partial 25S large subunit ribosomal RNA
Rfam family: Eukaryotic large subunit ribosomal RNA
Source: RNAcentral